RNAcentral lists this ribosomal RNA (497 nucleotides) under uncultured bacterium. RNAcentral describes it as "partial 16S ribosomal RNA". It matches the Rfam family "Bacterial small subunit ribosomal RNA", at positions 28 to 507 of the family's 1533-position model. The record is from RNAcentral.
GAUGAACGCUGGCGGCGUGCCUAAUACAUGCAAGUCGAGCGAACGGACCAGAAGCUUGCUCCUCUGAUGUUAGCGGCGGACGGGUGAGUAACACGUGGAUAACAUACCUAUCAGACUGGGAUAAUUACGGGAAACCGGAGCUAAUACCGGAAAAUAUUUUGAACCGCAUUGUUCCAAAGUGAAAUUCGGUCUUGGUGUCACUAAAAGAUGGAUACGGCUUGCAUUAGCUAGGUGGUAAGGUAACGGAAUACCAAGGCAACGAGGGAAACAGGACCCCAGAGAGAGAUCGGCGAGAUGGGAACUGAGGCAGGGCCCACACUCCUACGGGGGGCAGCAGUAGGGAAUCUUACGCAAUGGGGGAGAGCCUAAUGGAGCAACGCGGGGUAAGGGAUGAAGGUGCUAGGAUCGGAAAGCGCUGUUGGUAGGAAAGAAGAAAUGUGUAAGUAACCGGGCUGAUCUUGACGGUACCGGAAGAGAAAGCCACGGCUAACUACGUG